RNAcentral lists this unclassified non-coding RNA (235 nucleotides) under Hevea brasiliensis (rubber tree). The record is from RNAcentral. Lineage: Eukaryota; Viridiplantae; Streptophyta; Magnoliopsida; Malpighiales; Euphorbiaceae.
GGUCCGACCCGAACCCGGACACGCUGGAUUUUAACCCCCCGGUCCCGAGUGCGGUCAUGUAUAGCGCGAUGUAUAGGACCAUGAGUUGUUUGCCACUUGCGGGGAUGCAUGUUGAACUACCUAGCUCACACUUUGGUGGUUGGAGGCUUGGGAUUAUAGUUGAAAUGGUCAAGAUCGUAACACCCAUAGCUUGAAUAGUAGUAAAGAUACCAAUUGUAAGGUACCGUCCAAGAAA